Molecule: ribosomal RNA, 993 nt
Filed under: Bathyuroconger vicinus (large-toothed conger)
Lineage: Eukaryota; Metazoa; Chordata; Actinopteri; Anguilliformes; Congridae
Description: partial 16S ribosomal RNA
Rfam family: Bacterial large subunit ribosomal RNA
Source: RNAcentral
UAGAAGAGAUAAUGCUAAAAUUAGUAAUAAGAGGAUAUAGAUCCUCUCCUAGCACACGUGUAAGUCAGACCGGACAAACCACUGACAAUUAACGAACCCAAUAAACAGAGGGAAAAACAAUAUAAUAAUAAAUUAAACAAGAAAAACCUGCAAGACUAACCGUUAAACCAACACAGGAGUGCUACAAGGAAAGAUUAAAAGGAGAAGAAGGAACUCGGCAAACACAAACCCCGCCUGUUUACCAAAAACAUCGCCUCUUGCUAAUAAAAUGUAUUAGAGGUCCCGCCUGCCCUGUGACUAUAAGUUUAACGGCCGCGGUAUUAUGACCGUGUGAAGGUAGCGUAAUCACUUGUCUUUUAAAUGAAGACCCGUAUGAAUGGCACGACGAGGGUUUAACUGUCUCCUUCCCCCAAUCAAUGAAAUUGAUCUACCCGUGCAGAAGCGGGUAUAAUAACAUAAGACGAGAAGACCCUAUGGAGCUUUAGGCUAAGGGUUAAACAUGUUAAAAGAACUAAAAUUUUAAAUCUACUUGAACAAUAAAAAGUCAUAAACCAAAUGUAAAAUAACCCAAAUGCCUUCGGUUGGGGCGACCAUGGGGAAAAAAGAAACCCCCACAUGGAAUGGAGAUACUCUCCUAAACCAAGAAAAUCAAUUCUAAGUAAUAGAACAUCUAACCAAAAAUGACCCAGGAACAAACAUCCUGAUCAAUGAACCAAGUUACCCUAGGGAUAACAGCGCAAUCCUUUCCCAGAGCCCAUAUCGACGAAAGGGUUUACGACCUCGAUGUUGGAUCAGGACAUCCUAAUGGUGCAGCCGCUAUUAAGGGUUCGUUUGUUCAACGAUUAAUAGUCCUACGUGAUCUGAGUUCAGACCGGAGUAAUCCAGGUCGGUUUCUAUCUAUGAGACCACUUCUUCCCAGUACGAAAGGACCGGAAAAAGGGGGCCCAUGCUAAAAGCAAGCCCCACCCCUACCUUUUGAAAACAAAUAAAAAA